This 9688-nucleotide long non-coding RNA is filed under the name Homo sapiens (human). Its description in RNAcentral is "non-protein coding MIR924HG:11". The record is from RNAcentral. Lineage: Eukaryota; Metazoa; Chordata; Mammalia; Primates; Hominidae.
AUUCGAACGGCAGGCGGGAAGUGCUCUAGCAGGGGAGUCUGACCUUGUGAGGGAAUACCUGUGUCCCCCCUUUUUUCCCCUUUUUACCCAAUAAAACCCUGCCUUACUCACCCUUUAAAUCAUCUGCGAGCCUGAAUUUUCAUGGCCGUGGGACGGACAAGAACUUUAUCUUCAGCUGAACUAAGAAAAAGUCCUGCAACAUUUUUGGCGCGCAAUGUGGGGGCACCAGAAGCGGGCACCGUUGAGCUGUUGCAACUGUUCUGCUGGAGCCUUAUGUAUGUGGUUGAAACCACCUGUACUACUGGAAUGAAAGCACCUUUACAGAAGAGGCAAUGCAAGUUGUAUUCAUCACAUGUGUAGAAUGAAUUAAGAUUUAUGCCAGUUGCAAAGAAGAAUAUUGGCUCACUAUUUUUCCUCUGGGCAUCAGCAUAUGAUCCCCUGUUGAAGACAGACAAGUACAUCUUUCUGGUGGCUCCUAGACCUGGCAUUGGGAACAGAAGAUUAUCAGUAUGAUCCGUACGCUUAAGGAAAGAUCUCAUAUUAUUGAAAUGAAUAUUUUAUUUGAUAAAUUGAACUACAGAAUAAAGUACUUUUAACAAACCAUACUUUCUGCAGUGGUUCUUUCUUUCUCUUGUUUCUUUUCUUCUUUCCUUCCUCCCUAGCUGUUUCCCUCAUUCUCUUCUUUUUUUCCUUCUUUCUUUUCACUUCCUUUUUUUUUUUCUUGAUUAGAAUUCUAGAAUUUCUACUUAAUUCAAGAGAUUCCUACCAUCUGAAAUGCUUGGUUUCAAAGGGUGAGAAUAGUAACCCACACAUUUUUUUUCAAUACAAGGGAAAUAAUAGAAAGAUUUGUGCCUUACAUUUCUUCCCAUUCUUCCUACGACUAUAUGUUAUUCACAAAAGCACAUGGCACUUGAAUUCUAACAAAAUUGUAUUACUGUUAAAGUGAGCUUCUCAAAUGCACUCUGCAUGUAACACUCCAACAAUUCAUGAUGGAUUUGCUGCCUUAAAAAUAAAAUAAUCUUAAUAAUUUUUAAAACCAAUAAGCAGAAACUAAUUUCAAGAGCCUGCUUUGUGUGUUAGAUUCAGAGCAUAGCACUUAGUGUUUUCCUCAGAUAAUGGAAGCAUAAUAGGUGUGAAAGGCUGACAAUUUGGACUUUGUGGGUGGUCAGGAAGGGGUCACUCAUGGGGCCACCUGUCCUUUGUUCAUGAGCAGCACAGCCAUGUUUUAAGUAGUCCUGGGGUAAGGUUCCCUGGCACUGUGCUCUCAGCAGGAUGCUAGCCUGACCUGUAGAGACCACCUCCGAGAGUGUGUGUAGUUCACUUUCCGGGACCGGCUCUGUCCUUGAUCUCCGUGCUGUGACUGACAUCAAGGUGACCAAUUAGUGAGCACCAUGAUGGUGUUUUCUGUGAUGUUGUAAGGGCACAGAGGUCACAGGCGAUUCAAGCCCAGCUAAAUCCCAGGAGGCUGCACAAAGCCAUGUCUCUGAAGUCUGACUUCAACACAGCAUCCCGCAAAUGAAGGUAUGGCUCCUUUUUUGAACUUGACCGGGAACCUGCUCACUGAGCAGGUGCCUGAAAUGCAGCUGCUACAGCAAUUUUGAAUAGCAAAGACAUUUACUGAUUGCCAAAACCCAGCUUUACCCUGAAACAAGGUAACCUGGGUCAUUCUCAAGGGGAGAUGAAGGCUGAAUGACUAGGAAGAAAAAAAUAGCUUUCAGGGUUUUUAGGGUUUAGGGGCUAAACUACAGUAAGUGAGUGACCACAUAUCAAAGUUUUCUUUCAGCUUCCUUCUCCACUACAUAAUUUGUCAAUAUUUAUUUUAUAUCAGGGUAACAGUCACGGAAUCUUAUUUUGUUUCUCAUUAGAAUUUGCAAAGAGCUUUGCCAUUCUAACAACGCUCUGAGUUAAGGGGAUUAAUUGUCUUCAAAUAUCUGAUGAAACAAAUUGAGAUUUCUAGAAGCUCCUAGCCUUUUCUUUUCCACUCAUUUGUAUUCUUUGCCCUGUUUAGUUGGCAACUGCACAGGGCCAGUUCAGUCAACCCAGAAUGAAGAAUUGGCUGCAUCCCUGAUGGAGAGGCCAAAGGUCUCUGCACCAGCAGGAUGGGCUGCUCUGGGAUAGUGGAAGGUAGGAACAGGAGGCAGCUAUGAUUAUUGAGUCUGGCAUAGAAAAGAUCAGAGAUCAUCAGCUGAGCACAAUUCAAAAUACAGCCCAAUGGUGAAUUUUUUACCUGUACACAGACCAGUUCUGUCUGAUUUAUUCUACUGAGAUGUAGCUUUGGUAGAAUUGUCAGAUUUAGCAACUAAAAAUAUAAGCCAUCAGUUACAUUUGAGUUUCAUACAAAAAGCAAAUAAUUUACAUAUAAGUAUGUCCCAAAUAUUACAUGAAGCACAUGUAUACUAUACAUACACACAUAUAUAUGUAUAUCUACACACAUAAGCAUAUAUAUAUAUAUAUAUGCUUUGUUUAUCUGAAAUUGAAAUUUAGCUUGGUGUUCUGUAAGUUACCUGGCAGCCCUAGGUUCUGGGGUCAGAAACCCACACAGCCAUGGAGACCAAAGAGCUGAAAGGGUUCUGACACCAACUGGUAAAAGUGGCCAAAAUUCCGUUAAUGGUUGGGAGUAGGGGGAGACAAAGGUCUGGAUAAAGGGAGACACUGAUAUUUCCAAUGCUGCUUUAUGCCACACACAGUGCUUAAUUUUUCUCUUUGUUUGUUUUAUUCUCAGUAAAAAAUGUACAGAGAAAUGCCACCAAACUAUUCAAUAUCACAUGGGGGGUCACCUGACUUAGUAGCACGUGAUCAGAGCCGGUUUAUAGCAUCCUUCUACUUUCUGUUUACAUCACCUCUUCUUCUGGUGUUGAGACCCUGCAUAGUUUCUUUUGGCUUCCACACUCACCCAGACAUGUUGUGGGCAUUCCUCUCCCUAGCACCCCACAAAAAAAGAAAUUUGAAAUCUGUUCAGUGCCCUCUAUCUUCUCAAUUUCUUAUGAAGUGGUUAGAGCUAAUUCCGUAGACUAAGUCAUGCCGUCUUAAUGGAUGGUGAUAGUUUAAAUUACCAACACACAUGAAUAGAGCCUUUAGGGACUUUAUCUUGACUUAGUGGCUAAAGUGUGCAUCUCUAGCAAUUAGGGAGAGGAUAUUUUCCAAAUAGAGAGCCUCUCCCUGUUUUUUAAGUCAUGCCAUAUUGAAUAUUGCUUAGAAGUAGAGAUUAAUCUAUUUUCAGAGAAUGGGAAAAUUUUUGGACUCUUCGGUUACAUUUAGGCUAACUUUCAAGUGAUAGUCUGUGUUCUCCUGGAGAAUUAACACAUAGCCACUACCUACCCUAUUACUUAAGACUGCCUUGUGAGUUUUGAUCUCACACAUUUCAUCAAAUUCUGAAAGGCUGCCUUUCUCAAUCCUGAUGGCAAUAUUCCAGAUCACUUCCUGCUCUCCCCCUACAAAAAAAAAAAAAAAAAAAAAAAAAAAAAAGAAGAAGAAAGAAGAGGAACACUCACUAAGCUCAUUGAUAUAUACCCUAAAGCAACACACAAGAAUCUGGUUAUAAUAUAAACACAGCUCCAUGAUUUUCAGAUGAGAAAGGCUAUAAAAUGUGCAAAUGCCAAGUGUCAUUAUAAUCACAGAGUCAUCUUGCUAAAGAAGCUCAUAAUUUCUCAGACAUUUACGACAGCUAUUUCUGCCCCCAUGGAGAUGAGUUAUAAUCAAAUACAACCACAGGCCAUUGUCUCUGAGCCAAACUCCAAGGCAACCUCCAUUAAAAAUUACCAACAUUUUUCAUUUGUCUUUAUUUUGUGUAGUGAUUAUGUCUGGGGAGCAGGACACCAGACCAAAGCAUUGCACUAUCUAGUGAGGCUGGGAUGCUACCGGAUUUUAAUCUAAAAACAUACUACUACUCUGACUGGCAUUUGUGUGGACAAAGGAAUGAUAACGAUUUACAGCUGAAAAUCUCUUUAUUUUCCCUCUUGAAUAUUUAUACUUGUUCUUCUCUCUCCCUAUUUCUUUCUGUCUAGUUUUCCCUUCCUAUAUUUUUCUUCCUAUCUUAUUCUCCCCUCUUCUCUCCCUUUCCUCUCUUUUUUCUCUCUUUUUUUCUUUCUGUGUGUUAGUGCUGUGACUCUUACUGUUAAUGCCAGAGGACUCUUCUUGAACUGACAACUGAAUUGCCAGUGUGAAUUUCCAGUGCUCUGGUUUAUUUUCAUUCACAGUUGUUUUGGUAGGAUUUCAAACUGUAUUUACAAAACAGGAGAAAACGAGCCCAUUAAUCUCCUUUGCCUUCUCAUUCUAACAUUCUAACUUGCUGUAUUUCUUCAAACUCUUUUUUUUCUCUCUUUCUCAGAAAUAGACUUUGAAAAUAGACUUUGGUACCAAUAAAAUUAAGCUGAUAAAGUUGUGUCAACUGGAAUCCCAAGAUGUGUAGGGUCCGAUUAUCAUCCCUGCUCCUGUUUUGUGAUCACUUGAGUCUCCCAUAUAGGUGAGAGCCCCUGUAAAGAUAAGAGCCCCUGUGAAGAUGAGAGGAGAACUUUGCACAGGAUGCCACUUUGAUGUGUAGACGUUUAACCUGGUUUGUCCUUGCCCGCAUGUUUCUAUAGCUUUGUCUUUUGCUCUUCCCCUUGUCAUUUGAUCGUUUUUACUUAUUCAAAGGCUUCAUUCCUAUACCGCCAAUUUACUUCUUGCUACUGGAUCAUUUCCAUCAGUCUCAAGACAUGUUAUAAUCUUAAAAGGAAACAAACAAACAACAGUAACAAGAAGCAAUCUUCCAUUAACCCACAUUUCAAUCCAGCUACUGUCUCAUUUCUCUUCUCCCUUUGUGGCAAAACAUUUCAAAACAUUGUGUAUAUUUAUGUGUUUGUGUCUUUUAUACACAUACUCUUUCAUGCUAUUCUGAGCCUAUAGUCAUCCCCAUUACACCCAAAACUGUUUUUGUCAAGGUCACCACCAAGUUGUUAAAUCCAAUGGCCAAUUCUUAUACCUUUGUUUAUCUGUAGAAGUGUACUCAGUAUGGACAACUGGAGACUAACAGUAUAAAGAAAAUAAACUUUUCUUAGAAAAGAAGGCUUGAUUAAAAAAUAAUGAGUCGGUACUGGAAGAACGAGGUGAGUUGAUGUCUUAAAUUCUAGUUCUGGUUUGGUGCCCAUCAGUUGAGAAUUGAGACAAUGAAUGCAGGAUUAUAAAAUUGGAAAAGCCAGAAGCCAAAACUACCAUUUUAAUGAUGUUACCAUGGGACACUGGGGGUACAAACUGUGGAACAGUGGCAUUGGAAAAAUUUUUGUAAUAAUGAUAAUAACAUUAAGGAGGGCAUCUCCAUAUUGGUGAUGCUUGAACAUUGUUUUGCAGAAGUACUUGUGGAAUCAGAAUUAGGGGUAUUGGUCAUUUGCUUAGAGCAAUUUACUAAUUAUUUUAUCUAUGUUCUUCAAUAUACUAUAUAUGGCCUAUUUCUUAACCUAAAUAGAUUUAAUAGCAUGUAAACCCAUUUAUUGCAAGAUUGUGUAUUGACACUUGAGAGUGUUGCUGCUUUCUGGUUGCUGAGUUGUCAGGAGCAUUAGGCUCACAGGGAGAACUUUAAUUUGCUAUCCAUACUCAGGAGUUCUGUCUGUGUUUUUACGCUUUCUCUUCCCUACUCUGAUUUGGUUGUCAUUUCCUGUUGUCAGAGUUUUUAUUACUUCUAAUCUAUUGUGAACUGAGAAAACAAAAACAAAUGUGCUGAAAUUGUGUCUAAAAUAAGCCAAAGAAGAUCUGAUUGAAGGCCAUGUGUCUUAGUCUGUUUUGUGUUGCUAUGACAAAAUACCACAGAUUGGGUAAUUUACAAAGAACAUAAAUUUAUUUCACACAGCUCUAUAGGCUGCGAAGCCCAAAAUCAAGUUGCCAGUGCGUUUGGUUGUCUAGUGAGGGUUUGGUCUCUCUUUCCAAGAUGGCACCUUAACACUGUCUCCUCUAAAGGGGAGAAAUGCAGAAAGUAGGAGAAAAAAGACAAAGUCCCUCUAGCAAUCCCAUUUAGAAUGGCAUCUAAUCCCAUUCAUAAGGAAAGAGCUCUCAUGACUCAUCACUUCCCAAAAGCGACACCUUCCAAGUCUGUUGCAUUAGGGAUUAACGUUCAACAUUAUUUUGGAGGGGAAGAAGCACUCAAACCAUAGCACCAUGAGAAUGACAAAAUAAAUUUUGAAUUUUUUUUUUUUUUUUUUUUGAGAUGGAGUCUUGUUCUGUAGCCCAAGCUGGAGUGCAGCGGUGCAAUCUCGGCUCACUGCAACCUCUGCCUCCCAGGCUCAAGGAAUUCUCCUGCCUCAACCUCUGGAGUAGUUGGGACUGCAGGCAUGCACCACCACACCCAGCUAAUUUUUGUGUUUUUAGUAGAGACAGGAUUUCACCAUGUUGGCAGGCUGGUCUUGAACUCCUGACCUCAAGUGAUCUGCCCACCUUGGCCUCCCAAAUUGCUGGGAUUACAGGCCUGAGCCACUGCGCCUGGCUGAAAUUUUUGAUUUUUAAGACCUUUAACUUCCCUAAUCUGCCUAUCUAGGUGCAUAUUCCCUUACUUAUUUAUAUCAUAUGUGGUUUCAUGCCUAGAUGUUUGUGUCCCACUCAGUAUCAUAAAACUGACUAGAGAUUCAGUAUUUAGAAUAGAAUUCCAUCCCAACAUCAAUUUCACCUGAGUUCUACAACCCAGGUUAAUCUCCCAUCCUCUCAGGUACUAUUGCUUUAAAUGUCUAAAAUGUAUUGGCACAUAGUACAGCCCUCCUUCUAUCUUUAUCUUUCUCUAAAUUUACACAGUCUCUAGAAGUAAUUUAUGGGCUCCCUGAGGUCAGAAACCAGUUUCAUCUCAUUUCGUUUUAUUUUACUUUGUUUUAGGUAUUUAUAUCUACCUUGUUCUAAAAAAAGAUUUAAAGUGACUAAAAAAAUACCCACAAUUCUGAAAAAUAAAUGCAUAAAGAAUGAAAAAUUAGGAGGACAGAAAGUCACAGUAGAAAAUAAGAUGAAUUCAAGGGUGAGAUUGAUACAUACAAGUGUUUGCUGUGAGGUUCUCUGCAAUGCUCUAGAUAGGUUAUUAUGCGUCAUCUUUCUAACCGCAGACCCAAAGAUGAAUUAUUGGUCAGACGCUUGAUUUACAAUAGAUAAUAACACAGAUAAACAAGUAAACAAUAACAUCCAGUCGCUCAGGGAGAGCCUACUUAUUUCUCAUUUUCAGAAAUAAUGUCUCUAGGGGUCUUUAUAAACCUGAUGCUGUAUCAAGUAGUGAAUAAAGUUUUUUUUUGUUGUUUUUCUUGUUUUGUUUUGUUUUGUUUUUGUUUUUGUUUUUUGAGACAAAGCCUUGUUCUGUUUCCCAGGUCGGAGUGCAGUGGCCUGAUCUCAACUCACUGCAACUUCUGCCUUCCGGGUUCAAGUGAUUCUCCUGCUUCAGCCUCCCAUGUAACUGGGAUUACAGGCAUGCACCACCACACCUGGCUAAUCUUUGUAUUUUUAGUAGAGACUGGCAAUUUUUUAACAGUAUCUCCACAUUAAGUGUCAGCCAAAGAGUUUCAUCUAGCUAUUUUGUAUAAUGGCCUUAAGCUCAGGCUAAGGCACAGGAUCAAGAAUUAGAUUUUCUACAUUGUUAUGCUCACAUUGAUUCAGGCCAUUGAUACAAACAAUAUUCAAAGGAAAAACAAGCUGCAGUAUGCCUCUGGAAUAAGCCAGCACACAAAUUGAACACACACAUAUACAUAUUCUGUGAAUGUUCGUUUCAGAUUACUUUGUGCUUUUAUUUGUCUCUGGGAGUAAAUGGGACAUUUCUAAUGAGUGCUCAUCAUUUUGGCAGCCAGACUACUCACAGAUGAUAUGAGCCGCUAACCACCAGGGACAAUGUUUGCCCAGAUGUGACUCUAUCUUAUGCUACAAAGCAUUGUAAAUGUCAAACCCCUGGUUGGUAUGCAAUUCUCCAUUUACCAUACACAAAGCCUGCUGGAGAACAAAAGGUGCCAGAUAUGGAUGUGUAAAUCAUUAUAAUGGGACCAACAGAUCAACAACAUCACCCCUUAGAAAUAGGAUGGCCUGAGGUCACACUUCUUAGAUCACUAGCCCCUUUUCAAAAUGUCCUUUUUUGUUUGUCCUCUUUUUCAAGAGGCACCACAGGCUUUUUGUAAUUAAAGUUGUAUUGAUUUUGUAUUUUUAAAAAAGGAUUAUAAAAAGACUAGCAUGAACCAGAACAAAGGCAGAUAAUGGAUGGUAAACAUGAGGAAAGAUAAUAGUCCAGCAAUGCGCUCAUAAUAAUUCCCACAUACCUGCUUCCCAAAGUUGAUUCAGAUGCUACUUUGUUUUAAAAGCUAUCCUAUGUACCAGCAAUUUUCAAUAGUGAUCCUAGGCAGUUACUUAGGUUGAUUAUAGCAAUUUUGCUACAUCAUGAUAUAGCAAAUUGCUAUAUUUUUGCUAUAUCAUGCUAUAUUAUGAUUGCGGUCUUUUUAUUUUCCAAAUCUUUAAUUCAUUUUAAAAGAAAGGUUUGUUCCAGGAUGGCAAAUACAGUGGUUGAAGCUGGGGGCAUGAUGAUAAAAGAACUCUAGAACUUCAGGAUUCUCCAUUGUUCUGGCAUUGCUGCCCACCAGCAGAGGAUCAGGCUGACAUCUUCAGGAGGCAUAUGGAGGUAAUGGUUAACUUUGCUACAGUGAAGACCAAGGUAAAUUGGGUGCACUGAAGAGAAAAACCUGACCACUUCUGCAGCUGUGCAUCUGGAGUCUGGUAGGACCCUUCAGUCCCUUUUGAGACAUUAAUUAUAAUGUGCAAUGCUAAUUUACCAAGUUUUUCAAAUCUGUGGAUAGAAAGAAGUCAUCAGAAUAGGUAUGCCAAAAAUCUCCCCAACUCCAGCCCCCUGAAGGUGUCUCCUGAGUUACAUCUGUGUUCUCGCCAGGAUAUGUCACUGGUCUGGUCUUCUCAGUCUGUGACUGCACUGUAUGUCAUCUGCCACGUUCUUCCUGUCUCUCUUAUUCUGCUUCACUGACUCAUGUCUUCUGUCUGAAGAACAUUUGACGGGGCCUUAGCCUUGCCGUCACUCCCAUGGCCAACCAAGACAGUGCCAUAUCUGGGGUGGUAGGAUCUCCUGCCACUUCCAAAGCCACUAAACUGUAUACUUUUCCAUCUAGGCUGUUUUCCAGAAUGAAGAUAUCACCCCUCUCUACCACACUUCAUCAACAUUUCUUAUCUUGACCUCUAUAGGACUGCUGUUUCCUCGUGUGAAAUCAGUAACUUUACUAACUACACUUGGGCAUCAGGUCAUGUAAUUGAACUAAGGGCAGAGAUCAUGCUGCUGUCUCUGCUUUCUCUUUUUUUCUUCCCCUUUGCUGCCUCCCCUGCCUUACUCCCCAGGGACUCAUGAACAAAUUCCCUCUCCAUUUCAGUCAAAACCUAAAGUCUUUGGCAAAUCAAUUCAGAUAAAUGAACUGGUGUUACUUGAAUCUCAGUUUGUGUAGAAGAUUGAAACUAAAGAGAAAAUGGAAUGUUAGAUUAGCAGUGGUUUCCAUAUAGCUAUCUGGUGCUUACCAGCUAGCAUGCAUAAUGGGGAGUUGACUAAAACAAUCAGAUGGAUCGCUGGAAUAGCUAAAUGAAAGUGAUUGAUGUGACACUUGUGUAAAUUAUAGGGGGAAACUCUAGCACUUUGAGUCAGGAAAUCUCUGAUCUAGUUACAGCUCUACUACCCACUAGUUGUGGGACCCUAAAAAAUAUAAUUAAAUUUUCUGGG